Molecule: ribosomal RNA, 468 nt
Filed under: uncultured bacterium
Lineage: Bacteria
Description: partial 16S ribosomal RNA
Rfam family: Bacterial small subunit ribosomal RNA
Source: RNAcentral
GACGAACGCUGGCGGCGUGCUUAACACAUGCAAGUCGAACGGAAAGGCCCUGCUUUUGUGGGGUGCUCGAGUGGCGAACGGGUGAGUAACACGUGAGUAACCUGCCCUUGACUUUGGGAUAACUUCAGGAAACUGGGGCUAAUACCGGAUAGGAGCUCCUGCUGCAUGGUGGGGGUUGGAACGUUUCGGCGGUUGGGGAUGGACUCGCGGCUUAUCGGCUUGUUGGUGGGGUAGUGGCUUACCAAGGCUUUGACGGGUAGCCGGCCUGAGAGGGUGACCGGCCACAUUGGGACUGAGAGACGGCGCAGUCGCCUACGGGAGGCAGCAGUGGGGAAUAUUGCACAAUGGGCGGAAGCCUGAUGCAGCAACGCCGCGUGCGGGAUGACGGCCUUCGGGUUGUAAACCGCUUUCGCCUGUGACGAAGCGUGAGUGACGGUAAUGGGUAAAGAAGCACCGGCUAACUACGUG